ACAAGCAGCGGAGCGUGUGGUUAAUUCGAUGCUACACGAAGAACUUACCUGGGUUUGACAUAUAGGUUGUAGGGAACUGAAAGGGACGACCCUUCGGGGAGCCUAUACAGGUGUUGCAUGGCUGUCGUCAGCUCGUGUCGUGAGAUGUUCGGUUAAGUCCGCUAACGAGCGCAACCCUCGUCGUAUGUUAUAUGUGUCAUACGAGACUGCCGGUAAAAGCCGGAGGAAGGUGAGGAUGAUGUCAAGUCAGCAUGACCUUUAUAUCCAGGGCUACACACACGCUACAAUGGUCUGUACAAUGGGUAGCCAAGCCGCGAGGCGGAGCCAAUCCUGAAAGCAGGCCUCAGUUCAGAUUGCAGUCUGCAACUCGACUGCAUGAAGCCGGAGUUGCUAGUAACCGCAGGUCAGCAAUACUGCGGUGAAUACGUUCCCGGGUCUU
RNAcentral lists this ribosomal RNA (439 nucleotides) under uncultured Anaerolineaceae bacterium. Its description in RNAcentral is "bacterial SSU rRNA". It matches the Rfam family "Bacterial small subunit ribosomal RNA", at positions 925 to 1382 of the family's 1533-position model. Lineage: Bacteria; Bacillati; Chloroflexota; Anaerolineae; Anaerolineales; Anaerolineaceae. The record is from RNAcentral.